RNAcentral lists this ribosomal RNA (478 nucleotides) under uncultured bacterium. RNAcentral describes it as "partial 16S ribosomal RNA". It matches the Rfam family "Bacterial small subunit ribosomal RNA", at positions 28 to 523 of the family's 1533-position model. The record is from RNAcentral.
GACGAACGCUGGCGGCGUGCUUAACACAUGCAAGUCGAACGGUAAGGCCCCUCGGGGUACACGAGUGGCGAACGGGUGAGUAACACGUGGGUGAUCUGCCCUGCACUUCGGGAUAAGCCUGGGAAACUGGGUCUAAUACCGGAUAGGACCACUGCCUGCAUGGGUGGUGGUGGAAAGCUUUUGCGGUGUGGGAUGGGCCCGCGGCCUAUCAGCUUGUUGGUGGGGUGAUGGCCUACCAAGGCGACGACGGGUAGCCGGCCUGAGAGGGUGACCGGCCACACUGGGACUGAGAUACGGCCCAGACUCCUACGGGAGGCAGCAGUGGGGAAUAUUGCACAAUGGGCGCAAGCCUGAUGCAGCGACGCCGCGUGAGGGAUGACGGCCUUCGGGUUGUAAACCUCUUUCAGCACCGACGAAGCGCAGGUGACGGUAGGUGCAGAAGAAGGACCGGCCAACUACGUGCCAGCAGCCGCCGCAG